UACAGAGGGUGCGAGCGUUAAUCGGAAUUACUGGGCGUAAAGCGCACGUAGGCGGCUUGGUAUGUCGGGUGUGAAAUCCCCGGGCUCAACCUGGGAACUGCAUCCGAAACUGCCUUGCUAGAGUAUGGGAGAGGGAAGUGGAAUUUCCGGUGUAGCGGUGAAAUGCGUAGAUAUCGGAAGGAACAUCAGUGGCGAAGGCGACUUCCCGGACCAAUACUGACGCUCAGGUGCGAAAGCGUGGGGAGCAAACAGG
RNAcentral lists this ribosomal RNA (253 nucleotides) under uncultured bacterium. RNAcentral describes it as "partial 16S ribosomal RNA". It matches the Rfam family "Bacterial small subunit ribosomal RNA", at positions 524 to 776 of the family's 1533-position model. The record is from RNAcentral.